This 301-nucleotide ribosomal RNA is filed under the name uncultured bacterium. RNAcentral's name for it is "partial 16S ribosomal RNA". It matches the Rfam family "Bacterial small subunit ribosomal RNA", at positions 509 to 809 of the family's 1533-position model. The record is from RNAcentral.
CAGUAGCCACGGGAAUACGUAGGUGGCAAGCGUUAUCCGGAAUUAUUGGGCGUAAAGGGCUCGCAGGCGGUUUCUUAAGUCUGAUGUGAAAGCCCCCGGCUCAACCGAGGAGGGUCAUUGGAAACUGGGAAACUUGAGUGCAGAAGAGGAGAGUGGAAUUCCACGUGUAGCGGUGAAAUGCGUAGAGAUGUGGAGGAACACCAGUGGCGAAGGCGACUCUCUGGUCUGUAACUGACGCUGAGGAGCGAAAGCGUGGGGGGCGAACAGGAUUAGAUACCCCAGUAGUCCCUGUCUCUUAUAA